This 508-nucleotide ribosomal RNA is filed under the name uncultured bacterium. Its description in RNAcentral is "bacterial SSU rRNA". It matches the Rfam family "Bacterial small subunit ribosomal RNA", at positions 20 to 518 of the family's 1533-position model. The record is from RNAcentral.
UGGCUCAGAACGAACGCUGGCGGCGCGUUUAAGCAUGCAAGUCGAGCGGCAAGGGCCUUCGGGCCCCUAGAGCGGCGGACGGGUGAGUAACACGUGGACAAUCUGCCCCCCGGCCCGGGAUAGCCCAGGGAAACCUGGAUUAAUACCGGAUGAGACGGGACCCGCGAUGGCGGGACCCGGGAAAGGCGCUGCGGCGCCGCCGGGGGAUGAGUCUGCGUCCCAUUAGCUAGACGGCGGGGUAACGGCCCACCGUGGCGACGAUGGGUAGCCGGCCUGAGAGGGUGGACGGCCACAUUGGAACUGAGACACGGUCCAGACUCCUACGGGAGGCAGCAGCUAAGAGUCUUCCGCAAUGGGCGAAAGCCUGACGGAGCCGACGCCGCGUGAACGAAGAAGGCCGUGAGGUUGUAAAGUUCUUUUCGGGAGGGGGAACAACCGUGGCAGGGAAUGGCCGCGGGAUGACGUGAAUCCCGGAAUAAGCCCCGGCUAACUACGUGCCAGCCGCUGC